Non-coding RNA from Triticum urartu, 56 nucleotides. The record is from Rfam. NCBI's taxonomy places the organism in Eukaryota, Viridiplantae, Streptophyta, Magnoliopsida, Poales, Poaceae.
GCUCAGUUGGCAAAGCACAAAGCUCUCAACUUUGUGGAUAUGGGUUCAAGCCCCAU